Small nuclear RNA from Perognathus longimembris pacificus (Pacific pocket mouse), 103 nucleotides. The record is from RefSeq and is a predicted model, not a curated record. NCBI's taxonomy places the organism in Eukaryota, Metazoa, Chordata, Mammalia, Rodentia, Heteromyidae.
GUGCUCACUUCGGCAGCAUAUAUACUAAAAUUGAAACCAGAGAAGAUUAGCAUGGCCCAUGUGCAAGGAUGACACAUAAAUUCGUGAAGCAUUCCAUAUUUUU